GCAAGUCGAGGGGUAACAGAUAAAGCGCUCGCUCAGAUUGCUGAAGACCGGCGCACGGGUGAGUAACACGUAUGCAACCUACCUUUUACAGAGGGAUAGCCCAGAGAAAAUUGGAUUAAUACCUCAUAAUAUUUUUAACUCGCAUGAGUUUUAAAUUAAAACUUCGGUGGUAAAAGAUGGGCAUGCGUUCUAUUAGUUUGUUGGUGAGGUAACGGCUUACCAAGACUACGAUAGAUAGGGGUUCUGAGAGGAUAGUC
Molecule: ribosomal RNA, 257 nt
Filed under: uncultured bacterium
Lineage: Bacteria
Description: partial 16S ribosomal RNA
Rfam family: Bacterial small subunit ribosomal RNA
Source: RNAcentral